GCAACGAACCAAACCUUGCGUGCAUUCCAGGCAGACUACUCAGAAGGUGGAGGAUGUAUGAAGAUCGAAACAUGAAAUGACGGCUUGAAAUGAACAUUUUAGUGUGAAAUAAUGUGAAUUUGUUCAUAGUUGACUGUAUAAAUGUACCAAGCGUGUUAUAGGAAGUGAAAAUUUAUUUUGGGGAGAAGUCUUAUAGAAGAAAAUUUGGAAAAUGGGAGCAGUUUUGAAAAUCCAAUAUGGCGUCGGGUUGGAUCGAUGACGAUGGACGUGGCGUCUGUUGUAGAAUGGGGACCUUACCGAAGUUAUCGCUGUAUUUUCAAAGAAAUUAUGAAUGGUUUGGAAAAUAAUGCUGUUAUUUUGGAAAGUCUUUUGUCGUUGUGGUAAAGUAUCGAGAACAAAGUAUGAAAUAGAUUUAUACUUUGGUGUUUGGGGCCAAUUUUUCUCGAAAGAUCGGGGGUUCGUUCUUGAAAUGUUGAAUACUUUUAUUUCACAAAUUUACAUAGCGAGUAAAUCGGAGACGUUUUGCAUUCGUAAUUGUCUGUGUGAAAACUUGAAAGCGAGAAGGUCGAUUUAGCUGUAAGAUUUUUGUUCAAAUAAAAAAAAUAGGUUUAAGCAAUUUUAUAUAUUUGUGUGGUUAUUGUUGAUUACAAAUUAAGACAAUGUUUAAAUGUUUGUCUUGCUUUCUAUUCCAUAUUAGCUAUCCUUGUGACCGAAACAAGUCGCCUGCAUUUUACGAUCUCCCAGGUGUCUAUGAUCAUAGGACUACACAAGUCUGUUAUGAGUCGUUCUUUCAAGUGGCCGACGAGCAUAUUAUCGUUUCCCGACCAAGAGUAGCGUCACCCCUUUGCUGAUCUGGCGAAUCGAUAGAUUGGUUUGUCCCGCCGGACAGAAUUUGUGCAUAUCCGAAGUCCAUCAGUAAUCCUGUUGCCAUGUCCCGAUGAACUGCAAUGUUGCCAGUUUCUGCUACAAGUUAUUUGCAUCAAGAUUUACAGUCCGACCUCUCCACAGUCGAUGUCCCCACGAUUCCGCAGUUCCAGUAUUAGUCGAUACUUCUAUGAAAAUUGUGGUUUGGUUUUUUCAAAAUAUCGAGAAAUUUGAUAUUAAUUGACCAUGCCUAAAGGAAAAAUAAUUUAAAUGUGCUAAAAGCAUCUACAUUUAUCUAAUAUUUUUUUUAAAAAAGUAACAAUGAUCACUGAUCUGAAUUUUUUCACUUUGUUACAUGUACAGUAGUAUAUCUUGCAUGUUCAGUAUGCAACGUUUUCUCGUUUCUAGAUGUUGAAAAUGAGCAGGCUAAGUGGAUAAUUGGCACAAUACCCGAGUUGGGAGGUCUUGAGUAACAAAAUGAAACAUCCACAUUUUAGUAGACCUUGAUCGUGGAGCACACAUCUCUUCCCAUUUGCCGAAAUGCAGAAACCCUAAACUGGUCCUGAAAAAAGCAUGUCCUACCUAAAGCUCCACUGCUGUAUUGCCAUACGUCAUUUUACCAGCCUGACUAAUCCAUGCAACCACAGUAAAAUUUACGUCGACAUAGUUUCCUGCAGAUUCUGCACUGGUGAAAAUUUCCUGUUCGUCCUGUCCCAACAAAAUUUGGUGGUUUGGUGUUUUUGUUUUGUAUUUUAUGAAAUGUGCUGGAUAAUUUUGUCGAGUAGAUUUAUUAAACAAUUUGGUUCAGAAUAAGGUAAAAACUUGUUGGUUAAACCAAAAUCAUUGGCCUUAUACAUAUAUAAUUGUCUAGACUGAAGUUAGCAUUGUACAUGUAUUUUCUUGUUUAUAGCAAGUGCAUUUGAAAGGAACAUUAAAAGUUUACAUAGGUUGCAGUUGAGAGAUGACUGUCAAUAUUUUGGAGGUCUUCAGAAACUUCAACUGACCAUAUUUCAAACCAGUCUCCAUUGACACAAGUUUGUUGAAAACGAGGCCAUUCUCCGCUAUUCCGCGGUUGUUGCAGGAUUGUCCAGGAACCAUACUUGUGGUAUUUGUUGAAUGUUGUAUACAUAGUUUAUAACAAGUUGAGCAUGCAAUGUUGAUUUUGAGCGAAAUUAACCCAAAAAAAAUUUCUAAAAUGCAUUGUGCAUUCAUUUUACUUCAUAAAAUAAUGCCUGUUAUACUGUGACAUUUUGGUAUAUUUUGUAAAUUUUACUCUGCAGUAAAAUUCCUGUGACGAGGGGAAAAAUUGAGAUAUUGGCAAGUAAAUGUCUCCCCUUUGCUGCCAUUUAUCGGGCAUGUUAUCGGGCACAGAAAAUGGACAAACAUAACGUACCACUUGACUUCCUUCCUUGGCUUCUGAUCGACUACAUUAGCUAUGCUGUUGUUGGGAGAUCUAUCUAUACACCAUUGAUUUCGAUUAAAACACCAACCGACUGGUAAAAAAAGGAUGAAGUUUCAGAAGGUAGUUGCUUGUUACAGGUAUAACCAAAGUUAUCCAGAGAAGGCGAUUUGAGGUAAUACUUACCUUUUAAAUAAGUAUCUUUGGAAAGUUUGUGUUUUAAGUGCAAUAGAUUAUUUUUACAACAAUAUAUAUGUAUGAGAAAUAACUUGUGUGCGAGAACGAAGUUGUUGGAUGUCCUAAUAUGUAGCUAUACAUAUAUAUACAGGUAAUCGGUUCUCAGAUUUGUACAGGCAGUCUUGUUGGUGAAUGUUUUUGGUUUUGGACAGAGCUGUUAAAAUUCUAUUCCAAUUUCUCCUGUAAAAACACUUGACAAAUUGGAAUUUGAUAAUUUUGGCAUCAAAAUCUUUGACGAUACAAUACUAGUGUUCUAGUGAACCUGUACAAACCUUGAUAAUUAAAUAUUUGGGAGUAUUGCGGAAUAUUAUAAAGACAUUGAUGCAUAUUUUUUUUUAUCUUUUGUAAAGUGCAGUGAAUGGUUACACAAUGGUGGAUGAUCAUGCAACAAAUCUUUUUGACUAUUUUUGCCCCCUCUUCCAUCCAUUUUAUAGCAAAUUUUGACUGAUCGAAUCCAGAUGGCUGUGCAUACGGUGACUGAAAUGCUUUCCUUGGCUAGACACCAUCUGCACUAAUAAAACUAGAUAAAAGGCUGUUGGGAAGACAAUUCUGGCCAGUGAUGGACCUUUCUUGGAAAACUGUUUGAAUCAUAUAUCUUUAUCAAAAUUCAAAUGGCGACUACAACUCUUACAUGUCCGAUGCCAGUCAAGUGACUUCAGAAUUUCAGACUAGCUCCUAAUGGUGGGUACAUAUUUGUAAUUGUGUGGUUGUCAAAAGGUAGUGUAUAGUUUGAAGAAACCAAAAUUUCCGAUUAGAAUGAGCUGAAUAGCAUGAUGAAGCGAAUUUCCAACCUUGCCAUUUGUAAAUGUCGGUAGCACUGCUGUUCUCGGUGCUUAACAGUACUAUCCAUUUAAAAAAUUCCAGCUUAAAUGGUGCGUGAAAGUAUGUUGUAAUUUGUCACCAGAAUUGCAAAUUGCGUAAUUUGUGAAAUUACAUACGAAGAGUGUUUUAAGAAGUUCACACAUUUUUUUAUUGACCAUGAUGCCCCAGUAAAAUUCUAGCAUUACAAGGGCACAUUCCAUUGUAUACCACACUGGCGACAACUAAUGAUUCAAUACCCCUGAAAAAAGGCGGUGUUUCCUCCAAUUUUGACAUAGAAACGAAUUGAAAUAAGAUAAGUGAAGUAUGUUAAUGAGAAAAGAUUUUUAUAAUGAAAUGCACAAUUACCUUGACCCCAGUUUGAAUGCUUAAAUAUAAAAUUACAUUUUUUUCGUGGAUGCAUGGUUUCCAUUUUUGUGAAGCUUCUAGUUUUAGAUCAUCUGGGAACCUGUAUGAAGCUGCAGAUCUUGCACAAACAUGCAAAUAUUGAAUUAGGAAAAAAAAACUGAAAACCAAUCGCCUGCCAUGAAAUCUGGUGAGCAAAAACCUGGUGCAAUGAAUGACGAGAGGUAACGGGGAAAAACUCCCAGUCCAGUUUCACAAAAGAUCUAAGCCAUUUUGAUGAUAACCAUAAUUUUCACAAAAGCGCUACAAACCAAACAUGAUAUAGGAAUAAGGUGGGGGUUCUGAAAAUGUCUAACCAGUGAAAACAUGCACAAUUCUAUUCGGUGAGUUUUAUGAAGUCGAUUUUAGAUUUUUUGUGAAACUGACUGGAAACUUUUUGGAAUGAAUUGCUUUUUCAAUAUCCAAAAUUUCUGAAAGAUAUUUGUAUACUAAUUAAUUGAUUUUCUGUUGAAAUUGUUUUACCUGAAUUGUUGAGAAAUUUACGUAAACCUAUAUAAAAAGCUAAAAAAUGAAGACUGUAUACUUACCUUAUUCACGUUGCCUUGGGGAAAAUGUACAAUCAAUUCAUAACAGGUCCAACUUGAAGGAUGAAUUACAAACCUUCACAAUUGAUAUGAACCUUCCAAUCCACAAGCCAGAGUUUGAGGUUUGAACCUUGUCAAGCAAGAGUUUUGAAGUUUGAAAGUCAUCUCGAGUUUGAAGUUUGAAAACUCCCAACCCAUCCAGCAAGAGUUUGAGGUUUGAACCUAGUCAAGCAAGAGUUUGAGGUUUGAACACUCCUAACCAAUCGAGGAAGAGUUUCUGGUAUGAACAACAUUUGCUAUCAAGUAAGAGUUUGAGGUAAGACCAAAGAGCUAUUAAAAAAAAGAUCUGUUGAUUUAAUCUAAAAAUACCCAGAUUUGAACUUGUAUAGCAAUACAUUGUACUUAAUGUGUAAGUUUGAAAGCCAUCUAGAGUUUGAAGUUUGAAAACUCCCAACCCAUCCAGCAAGAGUUUGAGGUUUAAACCUAGUCAAGCAAGAGUUUUGAGGUUUGAACACUCCUAACCAAUCGAGCAAGAGUUUCUGGUAUGAACAACCUUUACUAUCAAGUAAGAGUUUGAGGUAAGACCAAAGAGCUAUUAAAAAGAUCUUGAUUUAAUGUAAAAAUACCCAGAUUUAAUCUUGUAUAGCAAUACAUUGUACUUAAUGAAGUGCUAUUUAAUUUCAUACAUCCAGUUGCAUGUAUGUCAUCAAAAAGUGUAAAAUCUAACAAUGAUACAAAAUUACAACCAAACAAGAGACAAGUGUUAAUUAGUGAAUCAGAUUUUCAGUAAGUUGAUAAUCUGACUGUAACCAACACGGCUAAAUACAUUUGAACGGAGAGUAAUGGUACAUCAGUAAAGACGAUACUUAUCUAUGAAAUACAACACCAGCGUGUGCCAGUGUAAACAACACUACUGUGAAUCGAUUUAACAAUGCUGUUGAAGGUAUUUGCACGACAGUACCAAUGGUGCUGAAGGUAAUAAUAGUAAAACAAAUUAACAUUGCCAAAGUAACUGGGAAAACUCGCAACACGAUGGAUGCUCAUUAUUACGAUAAUGGUGAAACUGGGCCGACUAAUUAUAAUUGUUCAACUGGACAAUAUUAAAACUGAGAGCAGACACUACAUUGGGAAAUUGUACAAGAGGGUAGACAACCAAGGGCAAUGGUACAAGAGGUCGGGCAUCGCUGAGCACAAUGGUACAACUGGUCGGGCAUCACUGAGCGCAAUGGUACAACAGGAGAGACGACUUGGGGCAAUGGUACAACAGCAUAGAUGCAACUGAGUUAUGGUACAACAGCACGGACACUACCGAGCUAUCGGUAAGACAUGGAGACACAACCGUCGGUAAUCUUUCCACCUGACUGAUGAAACUGAGGUUUAUGGUACUACAGGACAGACACUACUGAGGUUUACGACAUAACACGACCGGCACUACUGAGGGUAAUGGUACAACAUGACAAACCCUAUUGAGGGUAAUGGUACAACAGGACACACUACUGGGUGUUUGGUCCAACAAGACCGACACUACUGAGGUUUUUGGUACAACAGGACGGACACUACUGAGGUCUUGGUACAACAGCACGAACACUACUGAGGGUAUUGGUACAACAGGACAGACACUACUGAGGGUAAUGGUACAACAGGACAGACACUACUGAGGGUAUUGGUACAACAGGACAGACACUACGGAGGGAAAUUGGUACAACAGGACACUACUGAAAGUAAUUGUACAACUAGGCAUGCACUAUUCAAGUUAUUGGUAAGUCAUCGGAUACACCACCAAAGGUAAUCUUUCCAAGUGACAGAUGAGGCCAGAGGGGGAGAUGAUACAACAGGAAAGACAACUGAGAGUAACUACAUCUGGGGAGACACCACUAAGGUAAUGGUCUUUCCACAGGACAGAUGAAACUGAGGUUUAUAGUAAUACAGACCCUACUGAGGGAAAUGGUACAACAGGACAGACACUACUGAGGGUAAUGGUACAACAGGACAGACACUACUGAGGGAAAUGGUACAACAGAACAGACACUACUGAGGGUAAUGGUACAACAGGACAGACACUUCUGAGGGUAAUGGUACAACAGAACAGGCUACUGAAGGUAAUGGUACAACUGGACAGAUACUUCUGAGGGUAAUGGUACAACAGAACAGACACUACUGAGGGUUAUGGUACAACUGGACAUACACUACUGAAGGAAAUGGUACAACAGGACAAACACUUCUGAGGGAAAUGGUACAACUGGACAGACACUUCUGAGGCUGAUGCUACAACAGAACAGACACUACUGAGGGUAAUGUUACAACAGAACAGACACUUCUGAGGGUAAUGGUACAACUGGACAGACACUUCUGAGGGUAAUGGUACAACAGAACAGACACUACUGAGGGUAAUGGUACUACAGGACAGGCACUUCUGUGGGUUAUGGUACAACAGGACAGGCACAACUGAUGGUAAUUGUACAACAGGACA
Pecten maximus is the source of this 6718-nucleotide long non-coding RNA. RefSeq lists it as uncharacterized. Lineage: Eukaryota; Metazoa; Mollusca; Bivalvia; Pectinida; Pectinidae. The transcript is spliced from 3 exons. The record is from RefSeq and is a predicted model, not a curated record.